This 424-nucleotide unclassified non-coding RNA is filed under the name soil metagenome. RNAcentral's name for it is "partial contains 5.8S ribosomal RNA, internal transcribed spacer 2, and large subunit ribosomal RNA". The stretch from base 1 to 119 matches the Rfam family "5.8S ribosomal RNA", at positions 35 to 154 of the family's 154-position model. The record is from RNAcentral.
GAUGAAAACGUAGCGAAAUGCGAUAAGUAGUGUGAAUUGCAGAAUUCCGUGAAUCAUCGAAUCUUUGAACGCACAUUGCGCCUUCUGGUAUUCCGGAAGGCAUGCCUGUUCGAGAGUCAUUAACAACCGUUUCGAUCCCUUUCUUUCAGAAAUUACAAAGAGGAAAAGGGUUUGGUUAUGGUGGAGGAGGGAAAGGGAGCGUUUAGCCUGUAAAAAAAGAGGCUGUGUUCCGCCUCCCCCCCAAAAUUGUACAGGCGGUCGUGUGCGCCCACGCAUCGAGGUGUUGUAAAAGCUGCCACGGCACUUUUCACCUGUGCAGUGCGAGAUUGGCCAGCCGGUUUAAAAACCCCUCCAAACAAUCAAAGGUUGACCUCGGAUCAGGGAGGGAUACCCGCUGAACUUAAGCAUAUCAAUAAGCGGAGGA